RNAcentral lists this ribosomal RNA (699 nucleotides) under Pseudomonas sp. RNAcentral's name for it is "bacterial SSU rRNA". It matches the Rfam family "Bacterial small subunit ribosomal RNA", at positions 56 to 751 of the family's 1533-position model. The record is from RNAcentral. Lineage: Bacteria; Pseudomonadati; Pseudomonadota; Gammaproteobacteria; Pseudomonadales; Pseudomonadaceae.
UGCAGUCGAGCGGUAGAGAGGUGCUUGCACCUCUUGAGAGCGGCGGACGGGUGAGUAAAGCCUAGGAAUCUGCCUGGUAGUGGGGGAUAACGCUCGGAAACGGACGCUAAUACCGCAUACGUCCUACGGGAGAAAGCAGGGGACCUUCGGGCCUUGCGCUAUCAGAUGAGCCUAGGUCGGAUUAGCUAGUUGGUGAGGUAAUGGCUCACCAAGGCGACGAUCCGUAACUGGUCUGAGAGGAUGAUCAGUCACACUGGAACUGAGACACGGUCCAGACUCCUACGGGAGGCAGCAGUGGGGAAUAUUGGACAAUGGGCGAAAGCCUGAUCCAGCCAUGCCGCGUGUGUGAAGAAGGUCUUCGGAUUGUAAAGCACUUUAAGUUGGGAGGAAGGGCAUUAACCUAAUACGUUAGUGUUUUGACGUUACCGACAGAAUAAGCACCGGCUAACUCUGUGCCAGCAGCCGCGGUAAUACAGAGGGUGCAAGCGUUAAUCGGAAUUACUGGGCGUAAAGCGCGCGUAGGUGGUUCGUUAAGUUGGAUGUGAAAUCCCCGGGCUCAACCUGGGAACUGCAUUCAAAACUGUCGAGCUAGAGUAUGGUAGAGGGUGGUGGAAUUUCCUGUGUAGCGGUGAAAUGCGUAGAUAUAGGAAGGAACACCAGUGGCGAAGGCGACCACCUGGACUGAUACUGACACUGAGG